RNAcentral lists this ribosomal RNA (513 nucleotides) under uncultured bacterium. Its description in RNAcentral is "partial 16S ribosomal RNA". It matches the Rfam family "Bacterial small subunit ribosomal RNA", at positions 28 to 523 of the family's 1533-position model. The record is from RNAcentral.
GACGAACGCUGGCGGCAUGCCUAAUACAUGCAAGUCGAGCGAACAGAUGAAGUGCUUGCACUUCUGACGUUAGCGGCGAACGGGUGAGUAACACGUAAGGAAUCUACCCAUAAGCGGGGGAUAACAUUCGGAAACGGGUGCUAAUACCGCAUAAUAUCUUCUUCCGCAUGGAAGAAGAUUGAAAGACGGCUCUGCUGUCACUUAUAGAUGACCUGGCGGUGCAUUAGUUAGUUGGUGGGGUAAUGGCCUACCAAGACGAUGAUGCAUAGCCGACCGGAGAGGGUGAUCGGCCACAUUGGGACUGAGACACGGCCCAAACUCCUACGGGAGGCAGCAGUAGGGAAUCUUCCGCAAUGGGCGAAAGCCUGACGGAGCAAUGCCGCGUGAGUGAAGAAGGCCUUCGGGUCGUAAAACUCUGUUAUAAGAGAAGAACAAAUUGUAGAGUAACUGCUACAGUCUUGACGGUAUCUUAUCAGAAAGCCACGGCUAACUACGUGCCAGCCGCCGCCGUAA